This 29-nucleotide non-coding RNA is filed under the name Rattus norvegicus (Norway rat). The record is from RNAcentral. Lineage: Eukaryota; Metazoa; Chordata; Mammalia; Rodentia; Muridae.
UCAUCAAGACCUGUCUGGGCAUAAGCUAA